CCCUUAGAUGUCCUGGGCUGCACGCGCGCUACACUGACACGUUCAACGAGUCUACCUGUCCCGUUAGGGUUGGGUAAUCUUUUGAAAGCGUGUCGUGAUGGGGAUAGAUUAUUGCAAUUAUUAAUCUUCGACGAGGAAUUCCUAGUAAGUGCAAGUCAUCAGCUUGCGCUGAUUAUGUCCCUGCCCUUUGUACACACCGCCCGUCGCUCCUACCGAUUGGGUGAUCCGGUGAAUAACUCGGAUUGCGGCAAUUUGGGCAACUGAAUCGCCGUGAGAAGUUUAGUGAACCUUAUCACUUAGAGGAAGGAGANGUCGUAACA
This 320-nucleotide ribosomal RNA is filed under the name uncultured eukaryote. Its description in RNAcentral is "partial 18S ribosomal RNA". It matches the Rfam family "Eukaryotic small subunit ribosomal RNA", at positions 1470 to 1796 of the family's 1831-position model. The record is from RNAcentral.